RNAcentral lists this ribosomal RNA (301 nucleotides) under uncultured bacterium. RNAcentral describes it as "partial 16S ribosomal RNA". It matches the Rfam family "Bacterial small subunit ribosomal RNA", at positions 509 to 807 of the family's 1533-position model. The record is from RNAcentral.
CAGUCGCCGCGGUAAUACGAAGGGUGCAAUCGUUACUCGGAAUUACUGGGCGUAAAGCGUGCGUAGGUGGUGGUUUAAGUCCGUUGUGAAAGCCCUGGGCUCAACCUGGGAAUUGCAGUGGAUACUGGGUCACUAGAGUGUGGUAGAGGAUAGUGGAAUUUCCCGUGUAGCAGUGAAAUGCGUAGAGAUCGGAAGGAACAUCUGUGGCGAAGGCGACUAUCUGGGCCAACACUGACACUGAGGCACGAAAGCGUGGGGAGCAAACAGGAUUAGAUACCCCAGUAGUCCCUGUCUCUUAUAC